AGUGGCGCAAGGGUGAGUAAUGCAUAGAUUACCUGCCUCUAGGAUAAGGACAACUUUGUGAAAACGAAGCUAAUACUUAAUAAUACAAAAGAAAAUUAUUUUCUUUUGUCAAUGGGAGGGUAGCAAUACCUUUUGCCUAGAGAGGGGUUUAUGUCCUAUCAGCUUGUUGGUGGGGUAAUGGCCUACCAAGGCGAAGACGGGUAGCCGGUCUUAGAGGAUGGUCGGCCACACUGGGACUGAGACACUGCCCAGACUUCUACGGAAGGCUGCAGUCGAGAAUCCUUCGCAAUGCCCGAAAGGGUGACGAAGCGACGCCGCGUGAGUGAGGAAGGCCUUCGGGUUGUAAAGCUCUGUCAGGAGUUAAGAAAUGUAAGUGUGCUAAUACCACAUUUAUUUGACGAAGGCUCCAAAGGAAGCCACGGCUAACUCUGUGCCAGCAGCCGCGGUAAUACAGAGGUGGCAAGCGUUGUUCGGAAUUAUUGGGCGUAAAGAGCACGUAGGUGGGUUUGUAAGUCAGAUGUGAAAGCCUUCUGUUCAACGGAAGAAUUGCAUCUGAAACUGCGAGUCUUGAGUGUAGGAGGGGAGAAUGGAACUUCUGGUGGAGCGGUGAAAUGCGUAGAUAUCAGAAGGAACGCCGGCGGCGAAAGCGAUUCUCUGGCCUAUUACUGACACUCAGUGUGCGAAAGCUAGGGGAGCAAACGGGAUUAGAUACCCCGGUAGUCCUAGCCGUAAACGAUGGGCACUAAGUAGAGGGAAUUACCGAUGUUCUCUCUGCCGUAGCUAACGCAUUAAGUGCCCCGCCUGGGGAGUACGGCCGCAAG
RNAcentral lists this ribosomal RNA (821 nucleotides) under uncultured Planctomycetota bacterium. RNAcentral's name for it is "bacterial SSU rRNA". It matches the Rfam family "Bacterial small subunit ribosomal RNA", at positions 94 to 892 of the family's 1533-position model. Lineage: Bacteria; Pseudomonadati; Planctomycetota. The record is from RNAcentral.